RNAcentral lists this ribosomal RNA (2103 nucleotides) under Triticum aestivum (bread wheat). RNAcentral's name for it is "partial small subunit ribosomal RNA". Lineage: Eukaryota; Viridiplantae; Streptophyta; Magnoliopsida; Poales; Poaceae. The record is from RNAcentral.
AUGCCUCCGAGACGCGACACCGGAUUUGUUUUCCCACCAGAGAUCACUCAGUUGAUUCAGCAACAGAAUGCCCUGAUGCAAGUGUUGGUACAGAACCAAGGCAACAACAACAACAACAAGCCACCACCUCCACCUGUUGAUCACUUAGCCCGUUUCUUGAGGCUAAAUCCGCCGGUGUUUUCCAGCAGCACCGAGCCGAUUGUUGCAGAUGCUUGGCUCCGCAAAGUUGGAAGGGAGUUGGCCACUGCAGGAUGCACAGAUGCGGAAAGAGUGCGUUUUGCCGCACAUCAGCUGGAUGGACCCGCAGCAUCAUGGUGGGAGAAUUACACAGCCACACACCCUAUUGACACUGUCACAUGGGACCAGUUUCAGCAAGCUUUCCGUACAUCCCAUGUUUCAGAAGGAGCUAUGGCUAUGAAGAAGCGUGAGUUUCGCAACCUACGCCAAGGAGGACGCACCGUAGGCCACUAUGUGGAGGAUUUUAGUAAGUUAACACGUUAUGCACCAGAUGACGUUGCUACAGAUGCAGCCAAGCAGGAGAAGUUUUUGGAAGGACUGAAUGAUGAGCUGAGCAUGCAGCUAAUGGUAGCAACCUUCAACAACUACCAGGAGUUGGUAGAUAGAGCACUCAUGAUUGAAGGGAAGCAGCAGCAGAUUGAAAACCGUAAGAGGAAGUAUGGACAAGGGAAGUACAAUUCUGGAGCUCAGCAGAAGCCACAUUUUGCCCCGAAACCAGGAGGGCAGUUUCAACAUACCCAUGGAGGAAGUAGUACGCACAACCAUAAUGGCUCCAAGAAUGGUAAUGGGAAUGGAGGAAGCAACGGACAGAACCGCACCAACCCAUCUACCCCAGCCAAGAGGGAUAUAAGUCACAUAAAUUGUUGCAAGUGCCAGAAGACUGGACACUAUGCAAAUGAUUGUCCUGAAGCCCAGAAUGGAAAUGGCAAUGGAAGCUCUGGGAAGAAGCCGAACCCUUUCAAUAAAGGACAUGGGAACCACGUGAGCGUGGAAGUGGUUGAAGCACAGCCUGAUGCAGUAAUAGGUAAGUUUAUGGUUAAGUCAUUUACUGCACUCGUUCUUUUUGAUACUGGCGCUUCGCAUUCAUACAUAUCAAGGGGAUUUGUGGAUAAGUAUAAACUGCCAACCCAAGCCCUUAGGUCACCCAUGUUAGUAACCUCACCAGGAGCAGAGUAUAUGGCUAGUUUAUGGUGUGAACGGUUACCGUUAAGGAUUGGUAACUACCUGUUGCCCUCAGACCUAAUAAUAUUGGAAUCGCAAGGAUUGGAUGUGAUAUUAGGCAUGGAUUGGUUAUCAAAGUAUGGAGGGAACAUUGAUUGUGCCAAUAAGUCGAUUAUGCUUACCACCCCAGAAGGAAGAAGGAUUAAGUAUGUAUCCCGGCAUGUGCCGAAGAGGACUCAAGUGAAUUCCUUAUCAGGAGUUGUACAGGAGGAGGUACCAGUGGUGAAGGAUUACCCGGACGUAUUUCCAGAAGAGUUGCCAGGCAUGCCACCAGAUAGAGACAUUGAGUUUCUGAUUGAACUUUUGCCAGGCACAGGGCCAAUAUCUAAGAGACCGUACAGGAUGCCCGCAAAAGAUUUGGAGGAAAUUAAGAAGCAGAUUAAGGAGUUAUUGGAUAAAGGCUAUAUUCGCCCAAGUUCGUCACCUUGGGGAUCACCAGUACUUCUAGUGGAGAAGAAAGAUGGAUCGUCGAGGAUGGUUGUUGAUUACCGUGGAUUGAAUGAAGUGACCAUCAAAAACAAGUACCCACUACCGAUGAUCAAUGAUUUGUUUGACCGCUUACAAGGAGCUAAAGUAUUUUCCAAGAUUGAUCUACGAUCAGGAUACCAUCAGUUAAAGAUUCAAGAGCAGGAUAUACCUAAGACAGCCUUUACCACCAGAUAUGGGCUAUAUGAGUAUACCAUUAUGUCAUUUGGUCUGACUAACGCACCUGCCUAUUUCAUGAACCUGAUGAACAAAGUGUUUAUGGAGUUUUUGGAUAAGUUCGUCGUGGUGUUCAUAGACGAUAUUUUAGUCUUUUCCAAGAAUGAAGAAGAGCAUAAGGAGCAUUUGCGUUUGGUACUUGAGAAGCUCAGAGAACAUUAG